GAUUCCCAACGGGACGCAGCAGUGAGGAAUAUUGGUCAAUGGGCGCAAGCCUGAACCAGCCAAGUCGCGUGAGGGAAGACGGCCCUACGGGUUGUAAACCUCUUUUGCCGGGGAGCAAGCCUGAGCACGCGUGCCCAGGCGGAGAGUACCCGGAGAAAAAGCAUCGGCUAACUCCGUGCCAGCAGCCGCGGUAAUACGGAGGAUGCGAGCGUUAUCCGGAUUUAUUGGGUUUAAAGGGUGCGCAGGCGGGCUGGUAAGCCGGCGGUAAAAAUUCAGGGCUCAACCCUGUCGAGCCGUCGGAACUG
Molecule: ribosomal RNA, 305 nt
Filed under: uncultured bacterium
Lineage: Bacteria
Description: bacterial SSU rRNA
Rfam family: Bacterial small subunit ribosomal RNA
Source: RNAcentral